RNAcentral lists this unclassified non-coding RNA (457 nucleotides) under uncultured fungus. RNAcentral describes it as "partial contains small subunit ribosomal RNA, internal transcribed spacer 1, and 5.8S ribosomal RNA". The stretch from base 1 to 73 matches the Rfam family "Eukaryotic small subunit ribosomal RNA", at positions 1759 to 1831 of the family's 1831-position model. Lineage: Eukaryota; Fungi. The record is from RNAcentral.
GCAAACUUGGUCAUUUAGAGGAAGUAAAAGUCGUAACAAGGUUUCCGUAGGUGAACCUGCGGAAGGAUCAUUAACAAAUCCGUGUGGGGUGUUAUGGCCCCGACACUCGUUCCGCGUCCGCGUGCAUUUGCGCGGCGCGUCACAUUUAUCUAUCUAUGCUGACUGAUCGCGCAAACACAACAACUUUUAACAAUGGAUCUCUAGGCUCCUAUGUGUAUAAGAGACAGGCAAACUUGGUCAUUUAGAGGAAGUAAAAGUCGUAACAAGGUUUCCGUAGGUGAACCUGCGGAAGGAUCAUUAACAAAUCCGUGUGGGGUGUUAUGGCCCCGACACUCGUUCCGCGUCCGCGUGCAUUUGCGCGGCGCGUCACAUUUAUCUAUCUAUGCUGACUGAUCGCGCAAACACAACAACUUUUAACAAUGGAUCUCUAGGCUCCUGCAUCGAUGAAGAACGCAGC